Molecule: ribosomal RNA, 903 nt
Filed under: Triticum aestivum (bread wheat)
Lineage: Eukaryota; Viridiplantae; Streptophyta; Magnoliopsida; Poales; Poaceae
Description: partial small subunit ribosomal RNA
Source: RNAcentral
GUCAAGAUAAGUGAGAUUGAUGAAGCUUUCCUUGGCACAACUGUGAGAAUGCUGUUGCCACAGUAGAUUGUACCGGCAUACCACAAUGACUCGCAGAGGCAGGCUAAGGAUGCGAGUGUCAUAGCUGGCAUCAAUAUCCUGCAUAUUAUCAAUGAGCCAACAUCUGCUGCCAUUACUUAUGGUCUUGACAAGAAGGCUUCCAGUGUUGGUGAAAAGAAUGCCCUCGUCUUUGACCUUGGUGGUGGUACCUUUGAUGGCUCUCUUCUCACCAUUGAGGAGGGUAUCUUUGAAGUUAAAGCCACAAUUGGUGACACUCAUCUUGGUGGUGAGGUCUUUGACAAUAGGGUGGUCAACCACUUUCUCCAGGAGUUUAAGAGGAAGAACAAGAAGGACAUUGGUGGCAAUUGAAGGCUGAGGACAUUGUGUGAAAGGGCAAAGGGAGCGCUCUCCUCCACUACGCAGACCACCAUUGAGAUUGAUUCGUUGUUUGAGGGCAUCGACUUCUACUCCACCGUUAUACAUGCCAGGUUUUAGGAGGUGAACAUGGAUCUGUUCAGGAAGUGUAUGGUGCCUGUGGAGAUGUGCCCCAGGGAAGCAAAGAUGGACAAGAGCAUCGUGCACGAUGUUGUAGGUGGUUCCACUAGGAUUCCCAUAGUGCAGCAGCUUCAUCAGGACUUCUUCAAAGGCAAGAAGCUCUGCAAGAGCAUCAACCCUGAUGAGGUUGUUGCCUACGGAGGUGUCGUCCAAGCUGCCAUCUUCAGCGGAGAGGGCAACGAGAAGGUCCAGGACCUGCUGCUAUUGGAUGUCACUCCUCUUUCUCUUGGUCUGGAAACAGUUGGGUGUACGUCAGCCAAGACGAAGUCAACAUCGAGACCAUCCAGCAGUUCGUACAUGGCAAGAUGA